GCCCAGGUGGCGGAAUUGGUAGACGCAUACGGUUCAGGUCCGUACGCCGCAAGGUGUGAAGGUUCGAGUCCUUUCCUGGGCACCA
This 85-nucleotide transfer RNA is filed under the name Burkholderiaceae bacterium. RNAcentral's name for it is "tRNA-Leu". It matches the Rfam family "tRNA". From Rfam's summary of the family: Transfer RNA (tRNA) molecules are approximately 80 nucleotides in length. Lineage: Bacteria; Pseudomonadati; Pseudomonadota; Betaproteobacteria; Burkholderiales; Burkholderiaceae. RNAcentral also lists the same sequence under 1 other name. The record is from RNAcentral.